GUAGGUGAACCUGCGGAAGGAUCAUUACAGAAUGAACUUGACAGAUUGUAGCUGGCUCUCUCCGGGGAGCACUUGUGCACGUCCGUCCUUUCUAUCUUACCACCUGUGCACUCUUUGUAGAUCUGGAGGCAUCUUCACGGACUUUGUCUGUGGUUUUUGGGAGUUGUCGUGCCUUUGUGUCGACUCUCCCUGGCCUUUCCAGGUCUAUGUUUUUACAUCUACUCCAUAGCAUGUAAAAGAAUGAAUCUAUGGCAGCCUCGUGCAGCCUAUAAAACUAGUACAACUUUCAGCAACGGAUCUCUUGGCUCUC
This 310-nucleotide unclassified non-coding RNA is filed under the name rhizosphere metagenome. RNAcentral describes it as "partial ribosomal RNA internal transcribed spacer region". The record is from RNAcentral.